UUUUUAAAGCUUUUUCCAACAUAUUUGUCACUUUGUUUCAACAUUCUGUUAUCAUUUUUAUUCUUCAAAUGCUAGAAAAUUGCGUAAAACACCCACAUUCAAUGGAAGAAGUGAACUGAUCCUUUAUUUUACCUGUUAGGAGCGUUGCAUGGAACCAUCCACGUAAUUUUUUUUGGACAACAUGG
Etheostoma spectabile (orangethroat darter) is the source of this 185-nucleotide long non-coding RNA. RefSeq lists it as uncharacterized. Lineage: Eukaryota; Metazoa; Chordata; Actinopteri; Perciformes; Percidae. The transcript has 3 exons. The record is from RefSeq and is a predicted model, not a curated record.